RNAcentral lists this long non-coding RNA (3541 nucleotides) under Bemisia tabaci. RNAcentral's name for it is "lncRNA ENSASIAIIG006444". Lineage: Eukaryota; Metazoa; Arthropoda; Insecta; Hemiptera; Aleyrodidae. The record is from RNAcentral.
UUUUGGAAUUUUCGUUGAAGGACACGAUGCGUGUUAGUUUUUUAUCAAUCGUGUUGAUCACGCGUGUCAGCGUCGCGCAGUCGUACAGCGCGUGUCGUGCUUACAGGAAAAUUUACUGCUUCGCAAUUUAAAUUUUUUUUUUUUCAAAAUUAUUAGUCUGAGGCAAUGAACGAUUUUUCAGUCAGUGAUAAACUGGAACCGAAGAAAGAUCGGAGCUUUAACCUAUCUUGAGUUUACCUUUGAAUAUGUUCCGAGCACCUCUAUAAUUUCCCGUAGCCGUGUUUCUCUUGCAAGAAAUCCGAUGUCCAUCGGCACCUGUAGGGGACUUCUGUUGUUUUUCAGCGCCUUUGCCGCCCUUGCCCUUGUUUCCCGAGCCCAAGGUGGUCUGAAAUGGGGCAGUCACAGGGAGAAUGAGCAUAGGAUCUACAUUGCGACGCGAAGGGAGCCUUGCAAUCCGGCGAUCACUUGCCUCUCGGAAGACGCCCUAUGGUCGGCCAUCGUAGAGCGUCCCCAGCCCCAGGCCACGGGCCCUCAACUUUGCGAGUCGCUAAGGAAGAGCUUCAACCAGCUUCACGUGUCACUACACGGAGACUGCCCCAAUCCAGUCGCUGCUGAAUGCACUUCGCUCAAAUGCACCUUCGUCAUGGAUACUUCUUCGCCGACCGCCUUAUUCCGCAGCAACUCCAGACGGAGGAAGGCUUUCAGUGAGUGUGCUAUGAAAAUCAAGGAAAAACACGCGGAGUUUAUGGAAAGUGAAAACAAGUUUCUGGAGAAGAAAAACACCGCCAAGCCAACGAAUCCUUGCACAUGUCCACACUGCCGCCAUUGCCCUUUGGCCAUCUACGGUUGUCCCUACUGCCCCUUAAAUCCGAGGAAAGUCCGCUCCAACGAGUUGGAAAGGCCAGAUGAAGAAUACGCAGGAAUGAGGGAAAGUGUAGGGAGUUUGAACAUUCCAGCCCUGUUGGGAAGGGGAAAGUCCAACCGUUAUGAUGAGCCUCCCCUGAGCAUGGCAAGCUUGUUAUCCAAUGCCGCGAGACCCUCCAGCAGGAACCCCAAUAUUCCUGCGCUUGCAUAUCAGACUCCAAACGCAAGGUCGAACAUGAGCACCAAGGGGAAAAAUAUCGACCAUUCUCAGUAUUACAGCAGUCAGUCCAAUUAUGCGUCGUCAUCGAAGCCGUAAUCAAAGCCAUCUUCAUUUCGUGAGGUCAUCCUAACGUAACGUUACGUAAGUUACGUAACGUUUUAUGGGGUGGUUUGGAGUAGGAGUCUUUGUAAGUGCCACGCAGAGUUACAAAGGAUUGGGUAGGGUGUCCGUUAUCUUUGAAAUUUGAGGAAAAUUAACCUCUCCUGGUCUCCUAACGUGCUAUGUGGUGUAAACAUAAGUAAUGUGUUUUGGAAAACAUCUUUAAAAAAACUCUUCGAGACCUCUCAGGCGCCCUAAAAGGCGCACAUCUAAAGAUUGUUAUUUUGGCGAAAAUAGUGUCGUUUCUCGAUAGAAAUCAUCAAAUUAAGACCCUUUAAGGCAAAAAUUUUGUCCGGUUGGCAAAGGUAAUAGAGCGAAGCAUUUCGUAACUAUUUUUAACGAUUUUUCCAAGUUUUCCCGCGAGUUCCAUCCGUUGUCCCCAGCAGUUUUGAACAAUUGGUUCUAAGAAAAAAAUGGCCCUAUUGCUAAUUGUUAGUGGCAAAAAUACCUGCACCGAAAAACAAAAAGAGAAGAAAAAAAAUGACGUGAGGUUCAGAAUCUGUACGCUAGGUCAGUCAGCGGACGACGAUUUUGCCCCAACAGUCUAGACUCGUGGCCAGCUGAUGACAGUUCUCAAGACGUUAAUUCCGCACAUGGUGGCAGGUUUUUUUUAUUUUUUUUAUUUUUUUUUGUACUGCACGACAUUUAUGUGGACUGUUAAUGCAAAGCUAAUUUUAUUCUUCUCCGGAUGCAUUUGCCCUACGUCCAUGAACUCCUGACGUCCUGUAAUGGCGUUAGUAUUUUGUUUUUAUUAUAUUUUCUUGAAGAUGUGGGAUGCGAGCCAGCAAUUAGCCAACCCAAUCUGAGAGGGAGAAACGACAUAUCAUCAAGUUCUGCGAGUGACGAAUAUACGUAGAUUCUUAUUUGCGAAGCUAUUACACCAAAAAUAAAAUCCUCAAAACAGUCCGGUGCAAUAAAUUAAGACACGAAAAUGAAAGAGCUAUAGUGGUAGUUGGAUGAUAUGAGCAUUUCCAAUUAAUUGUGGUUGUACCCCAAUAAAUUAGGUUAUUAAUCCAAAUGUUGCUUUAAUACCCCAACUUGAGUUGCGGCUCUACCACAAUUAAUCGGAAAUGCUCAAAUCAUCCAACCAACUGGGGUAUUGAGCCAAAAUUUUAGAGGUAUUACCCUAACACUUUUUUUUCCCCCGUGGAGCAAGUAUUUAAGCUCCAUGAUAAGUAAAAACUCGAAUAACUCGUACUUGAUGAGUGAGGACCUCAUUUUGUUAGGCAAAAAACUUAACUCCCGAGUUUGCCUUCCAGAACUCUGAUGAAAAUUGUCGAUACGGGAAUCGCCAUCGCCCUGUAAAAUACUUUCUAUCCGAGUAUUCAACCACAUAAUAUACUUCAUCAUCUGUUUUACAAGGAUGCAGAAAAGUCCCAGCCUUCUUAUGUCAAGAACUCUCUCCUCCCUAAAAUGUCUGAGUGAUCAACACAAGGUUAAUGUAUGUGUUACGGUCAGAACCUGAAAACCGAGCAAAACGCGAUUGGCCCGGGCAAAAUGCUGCAAUUUUCAUCGCGUGAAAGACACGCGAUACCAUGACUCCUAAAUAAGGCAUCACAAAUUGUGGGAAAAUCAAAACAUGGAACACCCUUGGAAGCACAUAUUUUAAAGUGUAAUACUUGAGCAGUAUUUAAGCAAUCCAUUUUUAUGCGGAUAUUUAGCUUGAAGUGUGCAAGGAGAUCAUAAUUGGAGGUGUGAUUGCAUCAGAUGACACAAAUUUGACUUGCAGCUAUACCAGCAGUCUAACUUUCAUGAGAAAUGGAUCAGAAGACGUCGAGUAGUACCUCAAGGGAUAGAAAACGAGGUUAUAUAGGAUAACUUAACCACAAAUAUUCACACUAUCAUGAAAGAAAAGAGCUCAUGAAGUUUAUCCUAAGCUUUUGGGGAAGAUUGAUCGGAAAAUCGUAUUAUUCUCGGAGUAGAGUUUGUAUAAAACUCUGUUCGAUCAAAAACUGGUUUAUUCGUAGCUGCCGUCAUUUAACAGAUAAUCACUGUAAUAUUAUGUAAUAAUUAAUGUAAACUAUAGUAUUAUGAAAUGUACCAUAGCCAACUAGAUUAAAUAAAUAUAAUCUUAUCAUCUUAUUUCAGCUUAUCUUCUAUCAGUAUCAGCCAACUCAAAUCGACGCACGGAAGUCAACAGUGGCGAGGUGUGCUUUGCGAUAUAUCGAUUGAUCUACCAUUUAAAUGUAUGGAAAAAGAUCGAUAAACAGAGUGCGCGGAACGAACACCUUAAUAAUCGAUUCUUUACCAUAGCUUCAAAUUCGAUCUUUCACGCCUCGCCACUGUCACCAUAAGCCA